UUUUUUAGUUUAUUUUAAUUUAGUUUAGGCACUAAAUCAUUUUGUAAAGAUAUGGAACUUUUUCUUGGCACUAACAAAAAUAUUUCGGAGGCCCUAGCCAAGUUUCAUAUUUAUUGGAGCUAUAAACUUAUUUAUAAUAUUUUAUAACUCCAAUUCAAACAUUUAUUAGUUUAACUCAAUAAUCAAAAAUGUCAUGUGAAAAUAUAAGUCACCUCUACUUGAUGUUGCCACAUUUUUCCAUGGAUGAUGAACAUUUUACAAGGCAAAUUUGGAUUCUUGGAAAAAUAUUUUAGCUGAACCUAUUUUGAUUCAAAUAGUGCUAGGGUUUUGAUCAACCCCAUUUCAGGUUUAAAGAAACCAAGGGUUGUGAGAACUAACCGCCACUAGAAAGAAUCUUGUCACGUGAUUGAGGAGUCGUCAGAAAGAUGGUGGGGUACUCAAGUCGAAGAUGAUCUUCUCGCUCC
RNAcentral lists this long non-coding RNA (464 nucleotides) under Hordeum vulgare. RNAcentral describes it as "long non-coding RNA (HVUL_LNC009237)". The record is from RNAcentral. Lineage: Eukaryota; Viridiplantae; Streptophyta; Magnoliopsida; Poales; Poaceae.